This is a long non-coding RNA of Panicum virgatum (switchgrass), 2208 nucleotides long. RefSeq lists it as uncharacterized. The record is from RefSeq and is a predicted model, not a curated record. The transcript has 3 exons. NCBI's taxonomy places the organism in Eukaryota, Viridiplantae, Streptophyta, Magnoliopsida, Poales, Poaceae.
UCCGUUUUUGCAAGGUGUUGUGUUACUCCUCCACUCCUUGGUCCUUGCUCGUGGCCGUAUCUGCCCCGAAUUUUUUUCAUUCUGGUAGGGUAGACUCACGUGUGGGUUGCAAUUGCAAUGCUGUAUACACACGGGACAGUAGCAGAGCCAUCCCAAUUCCCACCCGAUUCGGCUCAUUUGCACAAGUUCACCCGGACAGCAGUAGCGUUGCUAGCGGCCUGUGCGCUGCUGCGCUCAUCGCGACUGGAAGCUCGGGCGCCGCGGGGAGACCGGCCGGCGAUGUUCGCGACGGCGGCGCGGUGGGCGGCGAAGAAGGGGAGGCCCAAGAUGGCGCGGAUCCAGCUGACGGUGCCGCCGGAGCAGGCCCAGUCCAUCACGCGCGCCAUCUUCGACAUCGUCCGCGGGCACGGCCCGCUAACCAUCUCCGAUGUCUGGCCAGUCUGGGACCACGUUAAGGUGUUAGUCUUGUGGGACUGGCAAGCAAGCGGCAGAUGGAGAUCAUGCUGCGGUGGAUGAGGGGGCGCCAGAAGCUCAGGCUCGUCUGCGACCACGAUUAGGAAUUUGCCGGUGCAAGAUUAUGGAGCCGAUCUGAUUGGAGCCCGUGCAGGUACGUGCGAGUGCAGGUGCAAAUUUAGAUGCUGCGGAGGAGGAGCUCGCGCAGUGCGUGCUUCUCCUUGAGCUCCGCCACGGACGCCAUCAGGUACUGCACGCUAGCCUUUGCGGUGGGAACUCGCAAGACGACGGGGUGGCAGGUCUACCAGGAUGCGCGCCAUGGCCGAUUCAUCCGACGCGCCGUAGAGCUCAACGCCCUGAAUGAAAAUCAUCGGAUGAUCAUUGGCGUUUGGGGACUGAACCAAACUUGUUUAGAGCAUCUCCAAGAGUGCCUAAAAAUUAGAGUCCUAAAAUACUGACUUUGGAAUCUUGCCAAAAAAUUUUGGGAGGAAAAAAUAUCACAUUCACCAACAGUUUCCAAAAAUAGCUCCCAAAACGGUUUAAUUGCUGCCACAUCAUCCAUCCUUGGGUCCAUCAUUUUAUCUUGUUCUCGUAAUUGACCCUCGCCUCCAUUCCCAGCAGGCCACCGCUGCUCUUCUCUCUCAUGUGUUCUUUGUUUUCCAUCAAGCAAAUCAGCAACAGCUCGAUCUUCCUCUCCUCCGAGCUUGGCCAAACAUCGAUCUCCAUACUUUCUUCUCUAAACCGAAGCACCCAAGCAAUCGGCAGCUAGCAGCUCUCCUCUCUAAUCAGAGCUUCACAGCUAGAGAGCCAAGCAUGCCUGCUCCUUAUCGAUCCCUAUUCUUCUUUGCACUGCUUCCAAAUCAAUGUAGCUAGCCAAGCACUAAAACCACCCACGCCAUCUCUAAUUCCUUCCAAUCAAAGCAGCUUGCGGCCUUGCGCUCCUCCGUAUCCUGCUGUUCUCCUACCCACCGAAGCAAUCAGUGGUUUUAGCUCGAGGCCGAGCACCCUGCGCCACAUCUUUUAUCCCUUCUCUACGAGCAAAACAGGCAGCCAGCCACAGAGCAAGUCAAGCACCCCCUCUUCCGCACCGGUCCUCGCCCACCUGCAAGCCAUGGCGGCCUGAGUAGCGCAACGCCAGCAUUGCCUGUAGAGGGCGGAUGGCCCUUUUGCCGGCAUCAACCCUAGAGCCUUGUGCGCCUGCACGAGAAGGAUGGAAGGGGAGAAGUGAAAAUGGCGUGCUGGGAAGAAGUGACGCGGAAUCGCAGAGGAAGAAAACCAGCGAACCGCCGAUUGGGAGCGCAAGCUAGCGGCGUAAAAAUGGCUCGGUUGGCCGCUGGUAUUGGACGCGCGAGAAUACUGGGCACCGUUUUUGGCAUCUGUUGGAGCUGGUAUUUUUAUGUUUGGUUCCAAAAUUGACAUUUGGUAAUGCAUUUUGGGCACUUUUGAGAUGGUCUUAGAGAGACGGAUCGCACAUCAGGCGACGGACGAGUGCGACGCUGCCGUCCUGCUUAGGCUCUUUUUUUUAUAUAUAUAUAUAGUACUAGCAUAGUGUCUGUGUGUUGCUACGGGUAAUAUAAAUAUUAUCCAUAUCUACACGAGACUAGCAUGAUGUAUUAAUUGUCCAUUUUUUUAUUGUGAUUCGGAUUGAUUUAUGUGGGUUCUGAUUAGGAUUCCAAUUGACGGAUCGUGGAAUCAUUGUAAGUAGAGAUAGAGACAUAAGUAGAGAUAGAGAUAGGAUUGACAAAUAUGCUGGUG